GACGAACCGUGCGAACGUUAUUCGGAAUCACUGGGCUUAAAGCGCGUGUAGGCGGGACGGCACGUCGGUCGCUGAAAUCCCCCGGCUCAACCGGGGAACGGGCGCCGAUACGACCGCCCUGGAGGGACGUAGGGGGACCUGGAACUUCCGGUGGAGCGGUGAAAUGCGUUGAGAUCGGAAGGAACGCCCGUGGCGAAAGCGAGGUCCUGGACGUUUUCUGACGCUGAGGCGCGAAAGCUAGGGGAGCAAACAGG
RNAcentral lists this ribosomal RNA (254 nucleotides) under uncultured prokaryote. RNAcentral's name for it is "partial 16S ribosomal RNA". It matches the Rfam family "Bacterial small subunit ribosomal RNA", at positions 524 to 776 of the family's 1533-position model. The record is from RNAcentral.